ACCACUGAGCCACCUUCCCAGCCCUGAAAUUAUUUUUUCAGAGUACAACUUUAGAAACUAUUUAAGAAGGGCUGGGAAGGUGGCUCAGUGGU
This 92-nucleotide microRNA precursor is filed under the name Dipodomys ordii (Ord's kangaroo rat). Its description in RNAcentral is "mir-3473 microRNA precursor family". It matches the Rfam family "mir-3473 microRNA precursor family". The record is from Rfam by way of RNAcentral. Lineage: Eukaryota; Metazoa; Chordata; Mammalia; Rodentia; Heteromyidae.